GAAAUGCGAUACGUAAUGUGAAUUGCAGAAUUCCGUGAAUCAUCGAAUCUUUGAACGCACCUUGCACUCUGUUUCGGCAGAGUAUGCCUGUUUGAGAAUCUAAAUCACUCUUGUCUCUGUUGGUUGUCUUUGUUUGUCUUUGUUUGGGUGGUAUCUUCGGAGACUGCUGACUCACUGACAACAAAACGACCGCAGAAGCAGAUUUGGGGCAUCGCUCCUGGACGACGCAAGUCGAACGGGGAGCGUGCCCUCGAAGCGAUUGCCGCCUCUGACGAAGCGCAAUGUGUUUGAAUAGGGCUUGCCCUUUUUUGCAGCACGGCGCGCCAGUCACCGAGAGGUGCUCACCUAUCAUUGUGGCCAAAACCACACCAAGAAUAUGGUCUCAAAUCAGGCAGGAGGA
This 400-nucleotide unclassified non-coding RNA is filed under the name uncultured fungus. RNAcentral's name for it is "sequence contains ITS1". The stretch from base 1 to 101 matches the Rfam family "5.8S ribosomal RNA", at positions 50 to 154 of the family's 154-position model. The record is from RNAcentral. Lineage: Eukaryota; Fungi.